GACGAACGCUGGCGGCGUGCUUAACACAUGCAAGUCGAACGGAAAGGCCCUGCUUUUGUGGGGUGCUCGAGUGGCGAACGGGUGAGUAACACGUGAGUAACCUGCCCUUGACUUUGGGAUAACUUCAGGAAACUGGGGCUAAUACCGGAUAGGAGCUCCUGCUGCAUGGUGGGGGUUGGAAAGUUUCGGCGGUUGGGGAUGGACUCGCGGCUUAUCAGCUUGUUGGUGGGGUAGUGGCUUACCAAGGGUUUGACGGGUAGCCGGCCUGAGAGGGUGACCGGCCACAUUGGGACUGAGAUAGGGCCCAGACUCCUACGGGAGGCAGCAGUGGGGAAUAUUGCACAAUGGGCGGAAGCCUGAUGCAGCAGCGCCGCGUGCGGGAUGACGGCCUGCGGGUUGUAAACCACUUUCGCCUGUGACGAAGCGUGAGUGACGGUAAUGGGUAAAGAAGCACCGGCUAACUACGUG
Molecule: ribosomal RNA, 468 nt
Filed under: uncultured bacterium
Lineage: Bacteria
Description: partial 16S ribosomal RNA
Rfam family: Bacterial small subunit ribosomal RNA
Source: RNAcentral